GAUGAACGCUGGCGGCGUGCCUAAUACAUGCAAGUCGAGCGAACAGACGAGGAGCUUGCUCCUCUGACGUUAACGGCGGACGGGUGAGUAACACGUGGAUAACCUACCUAUAAGACUGGGAUAACUUCGGGAAACCGGAGCUAAUACCGGAUAAUAUAUUGAACCGCAUGGUUCAAUAGUGAAAGACGGUUUUGCUGUCACUUAUAGAUGGAUCCGCGCCGCAUUAGCUAGUUGGUAAGGUAACGGCUUACCAAGGCGACGAUGCGUAGCCGACCUGAGAGGGUGAUCGGCCACACUGGAACUGAGACACGGUCCAGACUCCUACGGGAGGCAGCAGUAGGGAAUCUUCCGCAAUGGGCGAAAGCCUGACGGAGCAACGCCGCGUGAGUGAUGAAGGUCUUCGGAUCGUAAAACUCUGUUAUUAGGGAAGAACAAAUGUGUAAGUAACUAUGCACGUCUUGACGGUACCUAAUCAGAAAGCCACGGCUAACUACGUG
RNAcentral lists this ribosomal RNA (497 nucleotides) under uncultured bacterium. RNAcentral's name for it is "partial 16S ribosomal RNA". It matches the Rfam family "Bacterial small subunit ribosomal RNA", at positions 28 to 507 of the family's 1533-position model. The record is from RNAcentral.